CACGUAGGGUCCGAGCGUUGUCCGGAAUUACUGGGCGUAAAGCGCGCGCAGGCGGUUAGUCGCAUCGGUGGUGAAAGCCCCCCGCUUAACGGGGGAGGGUCCGUCGAGAUGGACUGACUGGAGGCAGGGAGAGGGCGGUGGAAUUCCGGGUGUAGUGGUGAAAUGCGUAGAGAUCCGGAGGAACACCAGUGGCGAAGGCGGUCGCCUGGACCUGACCUGACGCUGAGGCGCGAAGGCGCGGGGAGCGAACGGG
Molecule: ribosomal RNA, 253 nt
Filed under: uncultured bacterium
Lineage: Bacteria
Description: partial 16S ribosomal RNA
Rfam family: Bacterial small subunit ribosomal RNA
Source: RNAcentral